This 373-nucleotide ribosomal RNA is filed under the name uncultured organism. RNAcentral describes it as "partial 16S ribosomal RNA". It matches the Rfam family "Bacterial small subunit ribosomal RNA", at positions 527 to 896 of the family's 1533-position model. The record is from RNAcentral.
GUAGGUGGCAAGCGUUGUCCGGAAUUAUUGGGCGUAAAGCGCGCGCAGGCGGUCCUUUAAGUCUGAUGUGAAAGCCCACGGGCUCAACCGUGGAGGGUCAUUGGAAACUGGGGGACUCGAGUGCAGAAGAGGAAAGCGGAAUUCCAAGUGUAGCGGUGAAAUGCGUAGAGAUUUGGAGGAACACCAGUGGCGAAGGCGGCUUUCUGGUCUGUAACUGACGCUGAGGCGCGAAAGCGUGGGGAGCAAACAGGAUUAGAUACCCUGGUAGUCCACGCCGUAAACGAUGAGUGCUAAGUGUUAGGGGGUUUCCGCCCCUUAGUGCUGCAGCUAACGCAUUAAGCACUCCGCCUGGGGAGUACGGCCGCAAAGGCUG